AACAUAUUUGGGCCUCAACCAAGUUAUCUGCCUGCAAUGGGAUAUUUCGGUAGAGGAAGCAAUUUUUCAGGAGAUUCUGGAGGAUUUAAACUCUUGCAGCAAAGAUAUGAUGGGUUUGAAAGCAGUGGGUUGUGGUCAGAUUGGUCAAAACCUAGGAAUGGGAAGGGUUCUGUGGUGCAUUUGUCAUCAUCAACAACUGGUCCAACCAAAACCAAUUGGUUCACUAGGUUUUUCUGCAAAUCAUUUUGGAAUGGCUUCUCAACAAAAGGAAUCAUUUUAUGGAUUUGGAUCUCAUUUAGGCCCCGGCUAUAAAAGCUAUCCUCAAGGUCAAACUAAUCGAAACUCUGGCUAUGAUGUUUCCUCUUCCAUGUUUGGAAUGAAUGGUCAGAACUGGCCCACACUUCAUGAAGCAAGACAGGGGGGAAGGUGCAAUGACUUUUCAUGCAGUUGUAAUGUUGCAGUUGAUACAUUAGGUGAGCGAAAUAGAGGACCUAGGGCAUUCAAACCAAGAAGUCAGACAGGAGCAAAUGAGUCUGUGAUUGAUAAUCACAGGAAUGCAGUUUCUGAUGUUUAUAAU
RNAcentral lists this unclassified non-coding RNA (577 nucleotides) under Hevea brasiliensis (rubber tree). Lineage: Eukaryota; Viridiplantae; Streptophyta; Magnoliopsida; Malpighiales; Euphorbiaceae. The record is from RNAcentral.